Whalleya microplaca is the source of this 95-nucleotide non-coding RNA. The record is from the annotation of a GenBank genome assembly. NCBI's taxonomy places the organism in Eukaryota, Fungi, Ascomycota, Sordariomycetes, Xylariales, Xylariaceae.
GCCCGCGUGACGCAAUGGUUAGCGUGUCAGACUUUUAUAAGAACUGCCUUGUAGAAGUAAUCUGAAAGCUGUGGGUUCGAAUCCCACCGUGGGCG